CCUACAUCGAGUUCAACUUCAAGUGUGAAAUCCUAAGCGGAUCAAUCUAGAACCAUAAUUGCUGAGAUGCACCCGGAAUUGCUCAAUUUAGCCGAUGAAGGAAGCUUAGUUAUAAUAAGAAAGAUUCAGUUUGGCCCUGUUCGGGCAUGGCGAACCUAGUUUGUGGAGCCUGAGGCUAUUUGAUUGCUCGAGAUCGAACCAUGGCUAAAGUCCAAUCCAUUUUCCUUAUCCGAUUCAGGGUUCCUUGGCGCCAUUAGUCGCAGCAUCAACUUAGUUGGUCAAACAGCUUUAGCACUACGUUUACUAUUAGCCACAUUCUCUUCCAAGAUUUCCUCAAACAUCAAUCGACCUUUUGGUGACGAGCAAGAAAAGCAUCCGAAGAAAUUAGCGCACAGGUGGUAUUAGGAGAUCGGCA
Non-coding RNA from Lactuca sativa (garden lettuce), 415 nucleotides. Lineage: Eukaryota; Viridiplantae; Streptophyta; Magnoliopsida; Asterales; Asteraceae. The record is from RefSeq and is a predicted model, not a curated record.